CGCCAUCCGGGCAGUUGAAUUUUGCGCGCGCCUCCUUCACAAUCGCCACCAUGGUUGUAAUUCCGGCAAGUCGGAGACGUUCUGGACAGGGGUUCGAUUCCCCUCACCUCCACCGAAACACAUCCGGUGCGCCCCGCGAGGGUGUAGAGGGUGUAUUUCGGUGGGGGUGUCCCGGUUUCGACAGGGCGGGCAAAGACAAGCAGGCAACCCGAGAGGCGACGGACGUAAUCCGCGCAAAUCCAUAAACGCCAACGAUGAGCGUUUCGCAGUCGCUGCCUAAGCUGACUGCCGGGGCCGCUGAAGCCUUGUAACCCAAGACAGCCGGUGGGGACUUCGGUCCCCACUGUCA
This 349-nucleotide transfer-messenger RNA is filed under the name Azoarcus sp. It matches the Rfam family "Betaproteobacteria transfer-messenger RNA". Rfam says of the family: Bacterial tmRNA, also known as 10Sa RNA or SsrA, is named for its dual tRNA and mRNA-like properties. Lineage: Bacteria; Pseudomonadati; Pseudomonadota; Betaproteobacteria; Rhodocyclales; Zoogloeaceae. The record is from RNAcentral.